This 478-nucleotide ribosomal RNA is filed under the name uncultured bacterium. Its description in RNAcentral is "SSU rRNA". It matches the Rfam family "Bacterial small subunit ribosomal RNA", at positions 26 to 518 of the family's 1533-position model. The record is from RNAcentral.
AGGACGAACGCUGGCGGCGUGCUUAACACAUGCAAGUCGAGCGACGCUCCUCCUUCGGGAGGAUGACGGAGCGGCGAACGGGUGAGUAACACGUGGGCAACCUGCCCCUAGCUCUGGGAUAACCCCGGGAAAUCGGGACUAAUACCGGAUAUGAAGUCGGACGGCAUCUUCUGACUUGGAAAGUUUUUCGGCUAGGGAUGGGCCCGCGGCCUAUCAGCUUGUUGGUGGGGUAACGACCUACCAAGGCGACGACGGGUAGCCGGCCUGAGAGGGCGACCGGCCACACUGGGACUGAGACACGGCCCAGACUCCUACGGGAGGCAGCAGUGGGGAAUAUUGCACAAUGGGCGAAAGCCUGAUGCAGCGACGCCGCGUGAGGGAUGACUGCCUUCGGGUUGUAAACCUCUUUCAGCAGGGACGAAGCGAAAGUGACGGUACCUGCAGAAGAAGCACCGGCCAACUACGCGCCAGCAGCCGC